UGGGGAAUAUUGCACAAUGGGCGCAAGCCUGAUGCAGCGACGCCGCGUGAGGGAUGACGGCCUUCGGGUUGUAAACCUCUGUUAGCAUCGAAGAAGCGAAAGUGACGGUAGGUGCAGAGAAAGCGCCGGCUAACUACGUGCCAGCAGCCGCGGUAAUACGUAGGGCGCGAGCGUUGUCCGGAAUUAUUGGGCGUAAAGAGCUUGUAGGCGGUUGGUCGCGUCUGCUGUGAAAGGCCGGGGCUUAACUCCGGUUUUGCAGUGGGUACGGGCUAACUAGAGUGCAGUAGGGGAGACUGGAAUUCCUGGUGUAGCGGUGGAAUGCACAGAUAUCAGGAGGAACACCGAUGGCGAAGGCAGGUCUCUGGGCUGUAACUGACGCUGAGAAGCGAAAGCAUGGGGAGCGAACAGGAUUAGAUACCCUGGUAGUCCAUGCCGUAAACGUUGGGCACUAGGUGUGGGGGACAUUCCACGUUUUCCGCGCCGUAGCUAACGCAUUAAGUGCCCCGCCUGGGGAGUACGGCCGCAAGGCUA
RNAcentral lists this ribosomal RNA (531 nucleotides) under uncultured bacterium. RNAcentral describes it as "bacterial SSU rRNA". It matches the Rfam family "Bacterial small subunit ribosomal RNA", at positions 355 to 896 of the family's 1533-position model. The record is from RNAcentral.